UGGGGCAUAGCCAAGUGGUAAGGCAAGGGACUUUGACUCCCUCAUCGUGAGUUCGAACCUCGCUGCCCCAGCCA
Molecule: transfer RNA, 74 nt
Filed under: Erysipelotrichaceae bacterium
Lineage: Bacteria; Bacillati; Bacillota; Erysipelotrichia; Erysipelotrichales; Erysipelotrichaceae
Also listed under: 6 other names
Description: tRNA-Gln
Rfam family: tRNA
About the family: Transfer RNA (tRNA) molecules are approximately 80 nucleotides in length. Their secondary structure includes four short double-helical elements and three loops (D, anti-codon, and T loops).
Source: RNAcentral